GUCCACGCCGUAAACGAUGAGUGCUUGAUGUUGGGGGGCCUAGCCCUUCAGUGUCGUAGCUAACGUGAUAAGCACUCCGCCUGGGGAGUACGGCCGCAAGGUUAAAACUCAAAGGAAUUGACGGGGGCCCCGCACAAGCGGUGGAGCAUGUGGUUAAAUUCGACGCAACGCGAAGAACCUUACCAGCUCUUGACAUGGGACGUAUGGGGCCGAGAGAUCGGCUCCUUCAGUUCGGCUGGCGUCCACACAGGUGCUGCAUGGCUGUCGU
Molecule: ribosomal RNA, 268 nt
Filed under: uncultured bacterium
Lineage: Bacteria
Description: partial 16S ribosomal RNA
Rfam family: Bacterial small subunit ribosomal RNA
Source: RNAcentral